RNAcentral lists this ribosomal RNA (492 nucleotides) under uncultured bacterium. Its description in RNAcentral is "partial 16S ribosomal RNA". It matches the Rfam family "Bacterial small subunit ribosomal RNA", at positions 29 to 507 of the family's 1533-position model. The record is from RNAcentral.
AGUGAACGCUGGCGGUAGGCCUAACACAUGCCAGUCGAACGGCAGCACAGUAAGAGCUUGCUCUUACGGGUGGCGAGUGGCGGACGGGUGAGGAAUACAUCGGAAUCUACUUUUUCGUGGGGGAUAACGUAGGGAAACUUACGCUAAUACCGCAUACGACCUACGGGUGAAAGCAGGGGAUCUUCGGACCCUGCGCGAUUGAAUGAGCCGAUGUCGGAUUAGCUAGUUGGCGGGGUAAAGGCCCACCAAGGCGACGAUCCGUAGCUGGUCUGAGAGGAUGAGCAGCCACACUGGAACUGAGACACGGUCCAGACUCCUACGGGAGGCAGCAGUGGGGAAUAUUGGACAAUGGGCGCAAGCCUGAUCCAGCCAUACCGCGUGGGUGAAGAAGGCCUUCGGGUUGUAAAGCCCUUUUGUUGGGAAAGAAAAGCAGCAGGUUAAUACCCCGCUGUUCUGACGGUACCCAAAGAAUAAGCACCGGCUAACUUCGUG